This 281-nucleotide long non-coding RNA is filed under the name Homo sapiens (human). RNAcentral's name for it is "non-protein coding lnc-TGFB3-9:1". The stretch from base 1 to 117 matches the Rfam family "Metazoan signal recognition particle RNA". The record is from RNAcentral. Lineage: Eukaryota; Metazoa; Chordata; Mammalia; Primates; Hominidae.
GCCGGGCAUGGUGGCUCAUGCCUGUAAUCCCAGCAAUCUGGGAGGCUGAGGUGGGUGGAUCACCUGAGGUCAGGAGUUCGAGACCAGCCUGGCCAACAUGGUGAACGUUCAUCUCUACUAAAAAUACAAAAAAUUAGCCGGGCGUGGUGGUGGAUGCCUAUAAUUCCAGCUACUCAGGAGGCUGAGGCAGGAGAAUCUCUUGAACCCAGGUGGUGGAGGUUGCAGUGAGCUGAGAUCGAGCCAUUGCACUCCAGCCUGGGCAACAAGAGCAAAACUCAUUU